RNAcentral lists this ribosomal RNA (1395 nucleotides) under uncultured bacterium. Its description in RNAcentral is "16S ribosomal RNA". It matches the Rfam family "Bacterial small subunit ribosomal RNA". The record is from RNAcentral.
AGAGUUUGAUCCUGGCUCAGGAUGAACGCUAGCUACAGGCUUAACACAUGCAAGUCGAGGGGCAGCAUCAUCAAAGCUUGCUUUGAUGGAUGGCGACCGGCGCACGGGUGAGUAACACGUAUCCAACCUGCCGACAACACUGGGAUAGCCUUUCGAAAGAAAGAUUAAUACCGGAUGGCAUAGUUUUCCCGCAUGGGAUAAUUAUUAAAGAAUUUCGGUUGUCGAUGGGGAUGCGUUCCAUUAGGCAGUUGGCGGGGUAACGGCCCACCAAACCAACGAUGGAUAGGGGUUCUGAGAGGAAGGUCCCCCACAUUGGAACUGAGACACGGUCCAAACUCCUACGGGAGGCAGCAGUGAGGAAUAUUGGUCAAUGGACGAGAGUCUGAACCAGCCAAGUAGCGUGAAGGAUGACUGCCCUAUGGGUUGUAAACUUCUUUUAUACGGGAAUAAAGUUAGCCACGUGUGGCUUUUUGUAUGUACCGUAUGAAUAAGGAUCGGCUAACUCCGUGCCAGCAGCCGCGGUAAUACGGAGGAUCCGAGCGUUAUCCGGAUUUAUUGGGUUUAAAGGGAGCGUAGGCGGGUUGUUAAGUCAGUUGUGAAAGUUUGCGGCUCAACCGUAAAAUUGCAGUUGAUACUGGCGACCUUGAGUGCAACAGAGGUAGGCGGAAUUCGUGGUGUAGCGGUGAAAUGCUUAGAUAUCACGAAGAACUCCGAUUGCGAAGGCAGCUUACUGGAUUGUAACUGACGCUGAUGCUCGAAAGUGUGGGUAUCAAACAGGAUUAGAUACCCUGGUAGUCCACACAGUAAACGAUGAAUACUCGCUGUUGGCGAUAUACAGUCAGCGGCCAAGCGAUAGCAUUAAGUAUUCCACCUGGGGAGUACGCCGGCAACGGUGAAACUCAAAGGAAUUGACGGGGGCCCGCACAAGCGGAGGAACAUGUGGUUUAAUUCGAUGAUACGCGAGGAACCUUACCCGGGCUUAAAUUGCAACUGACUGAACCGGAAACGGUUCUUUCUUCGGACAGUUGUGAAGGUGCUGCAUGGUUGUCGUCAGCUCGUGCCGUGAGGUGUCGGCUUAAGUGCCAUAACGAGCGCAACCCUUAUCGAUAGUUACUAGCAGGUCAUGCUGAGGACUCUAUUGAGACUGCCGUCGUAAGAUGUGAGGAAGGUGGGGAUGACGUCAAAUCAGCACGGCCCUUACGUCCGGGGCUACACACGUGUUACAAUGGGGGGUACAGAAGGCAGCUACACGGCGACGUGGUGCUAAUCCCGAAAGCCUCUCUCAGUUCGGAUUGGAGUCUGCAACCCGACUCCAUGAAGCUGGAUUCGCUAGUAAUCGCGCAUCAGCCACGGCGCGGUGAAUACGUUCCCGGGCCUUGCACACACCGCCCGUCA